CCAGCACUUUCACAGGCCCUCCCCUGGGCUGUGGGGCCAGGAUUUGGUAGCUGGUGUAGAGAAAGCUCUGGGUUGCAUCCUUGCCCUGGGACUGUGCCAGGGGCAGCUGUCACUCACUGGGACAGAG
Small nucleolar RNA from Vulpes vulpes (red fox), 127 nucleotides. Ensembl annotates it as small nucleolar RNA, H/ACA box 30B. The record is from Ensembl. NCBI's taxonomy places the organism in Eukaryota, Metazoa, Chordata, Mammalia, Carnivora, Canidae.